This 223-nucleotide unclassified non-coding RNA is filed under the name Hevea brasiliensis (rubber tree). Lineage: Eukaryota; Viridiplantae; Streptophyta; Magnoliopsida; Malpighiales; Euphorbiaceae. The record is from RNAcentral.
GAAACCGAACCGUGGCCACCCCUGCCUGGCAGUUCAAGUGUUCAAAUGACAUAUCACCAAAAGCCUUAGAAAACCAUGAAUAAUGUUUUAAAUGCCAUUAGGCAGGUGGUGACAUAGGUCAGUUUGCAGGACUGGUAUUUAGAUUGGAAUUUUACGCAAGGAAACAGUGAUGUAGAUCAUAAAAAUAAAUUCGAGCUUUUGGUUGAAUUUGGAGGAGAAAAGA